ACGCUCUUUACCGGGAGAAAGCGCCUUAGGCAUAGCGUUCAAGCAGUGCAUACAGCGAACACAAUCACGGCUC
This 73-nucleotide transfer RNA is filed under the name Chlorobium chlorochromatii CaD3. RNAcentral describes it as "tRNA-Thr". Lineage: Bacteria; Pseudomonadati; Chlorobiota; Chlorobiia; Chlorobiales; Chlorobiaceae. The record is from RNAcentral.